This 668-nucleotide ribosomal RNA is filed under the name uncultured bacterium. RNAcentral describes it as "bacterial SSU rRNA". It matches the Rfam family "Bacterial small subunit ribosomal RNA", at positions 120 to 807 of the family's 1533-position model. The record is from RNAcentral.
GGUAACCUACCCUGUACACACGGAUAACAUACCGAAAGGUAUGCUAAUACGGGAUAAUAUAUUUGAGAGGCAUCUCUUAAAUAUCAAAGGUGAGCCAGUACAGGAUGGACCCGCGUCUGAUUAGCUAGUUGGUAAGGUAACGGCUUACCAAGGCGACGAUCAGUAGCCGACCUGAGAGGGUGAUCGGCCACAUUGGAACUGAGACACGGUCCAAACUCCUACGGGAGGCAGCAGUGGGGAAUAUUGCACAAUGGGCGAAAGCCUGAUGCAGCAACGCCGCGUGAGUGAUGAAGGCCUUCGGGUCGUAAAACUCUGUCCUCAAGGAAGAUAAUGACGGUACUUGAGGAGGAAGCCCCGGCUAACUACGUGCCAGCAGCCGCGGUAAUACGUAGGGGGCUAGCGUUAUCCGGAUUUACUGGGCGUAAAGGGUGCGUAGGCGGUCUUUCAAGUCAGGAGUGAAAGGCUACGGCUCAACCGUAGUAAGCUCUUGAAACUGGGAGACUUGAGUGCAGGAGAGGAGAGUGGAAUUCCUAGUGUCGCGGUGAAAUGCGUAGAUAUUAGGAGGAACACCAGUUGCGAAGGCGGCUCUCUGGACUGUAACUGACGCUGAGGCACGAAAGCGUGGGGAGCAAACAGGAUUAGAUACCCUGGUAGUCCACGCUGUAAAC